AGAGUUUGAUCCUGGCUCAGGAUGAACGCUAGCUACAGGCUUAACACAUGCAAGUCGAGGGGCAGCAUCAUCAAAGCUUGCUUUGAUGGAUGGCGACCGGCGCACGGGUGAGUAACACGUAUCCAACCUGCCGACAACACUGGGAUAGCCUUUCGAAAGAAAGAUUAAUACCGGAUGGCAUAAUUAUUCCGCAUGGGAUAAUUAUUAAAGAAUUUCGGUUGUCGAUGGGGAUGCGUUCCAUUAGGCAGUUGGCGGGGUAACGGCCCACCAAACCUACGAUGGAUAGGGGUUCUGAGAGGAAGGUCCCCCACAUUGGAACUGAGACACGGUCCAAACUCCUACGGGAGGCAGCAGUGAGGAAUAUUGGUCAAUGGACGAGAGUCUGAACCAGCCAAGUAGCGUGAAGGAUGACUGCCCUAUGGGUUGUAAACUUCUUUUAUACGGGAAUAAAGUGAGCCACGUGUGGCUUUUUGUAUGUACCGUAUGAAUAAGGAUCGGCUAACUCCGUGCCAGCAGCCGCGGUAAUACGGAGGAUCCGAGCGUUAUCCGGAUUUAUUGGGUUUAAAGGGAGCGUAGGCGGGUUGUUAAGUCAGUUGUGAAAGUUUGCGGCUCAACCGUAAAAUUGCAGUUGAUACUGGCGACCUUGAGUGCAACAGAGGUAGGCGGAAUUCGUGGUGUAGCGGUGAAAUGCUUAGAUAUCACGAAGAACUCCGAUUGCGAAGGCAGCUUACUGGAUUGUAACUGACGCUGAUGCUCGAAAGUGUGGGUAUCAAACAGGAUUAGAUACCCUGGUAGUCCACACAGUAAACGAUGAAUACUCGCUGUUGGCGAUAUACAGUCAGCGGCCAAGCGAAAGCAUUAAGUAUUCCACCUGGGGAGUACGCCGGCAACGGUGAAACUCAAAGGAAUUGACGGGGGCCCGCACAAGCGGAGGAACAUGUGGUUUAAUUCGAUGAUACGCGAGGAACCUUACCCGGGCUUAAAUUGCAACUGACGGAACCGGAAACGGUUCUUUCUUCGGACAGUUGUGAAGGUGCUGCAUGGUUGUCGUCAGCUCGUGCCGUGAGGUGUCGGCUUAAGUGCCAUAACGAGCGCAACCCUUACGGGUAGUUACCAUCAGGUUAUGCUGGGGACUCUACCCGGACUGCCGUCGUAAGAUGUGAGGAAGGUGGGGAUGACGUCAAAUCAGCACGGCCCUUACGUCCGGGGCUACACACGUGUUACAAUGGGGGGUACAGAAGGCAGCUACACGGCGACGUGGUGCUAAUCCCAAAAGCCUCUCUCAGUUCGGAUUGGAGUCUGCAACCCGACUCCAUGAAGCUGGAUUCGCUAGUAAUCGCGCAUCAGCCACGGCGCGGUGAAUACGUUCCCGGGCCUUGUACACACCGCCCGUCAAGCCAUGAAAGCCGGGGGUACCUGAAGUACGUAACCGCGAGGAGCGUCCUAGGGUAAAACUGGUGAUUGGGGCUAAGUCGUAACAAGGUAGCCGUACCGGAAGGUGCGGCUG
Molecule: ribosomal RNA, 1507 nt
Filed under: human gut metagenome
Also listed under: 1 other name
Description: bacterial SSU rRNA
Rfam family: Bacterial small subunit ribosomal RNA
Source: RNAcentral